GAUGAACGCUAGCUACAGGCUUAACACAUGCAAGUCGAGGGGAAACGACAUCGAAAGCUUGCUUUUGAUGGGCGUCGACCGGCGCACGGGUGAGUAACGCGUAUCCAACCUGCCCACCACUUGGGGAUAACUUUGCGAAAGUAAGACUAAUACCCAAUGACGUCUCUAGAAGACAUCUGAAAGAGAUUAAAGAUUUAUCGGUGAUGGCUGGGGAUGCGUCUGAUUAGAUUGUUGGCGGGGUAACGGCCCACCAAGGCGACGAUAAGUAGGGGUUCUGAGAGGAAGGUCCCCCACAUUGGAACUGAGACACGGUCCAAACUCCUACGGGAGGCAGCAGUGAGGAAUAUUGGUCAAUGGACGAGAGUCUGAACCAGCCAAGUAGCGUGCAGGAUGAUGGCCCUAUGGGUUGUAAACUGCUUUUAUAAGGGAAUAAAGUGAGAGUCGUGACUCUUUUUGCAUGUACCUUAUGAAUAAGGACCGGCUAAUUCCGUGCCAGCCGCCGCAGUAA
Molecule: ribosomal RNA, 508 nt
Filed under: uncultured bacterium
Lineage: Bacteria
Description: partial 16S ribosomal RNA
Rfam family: Bacterial small subunit ribosomal RNA
Source: RNAcentral